Long non-coding RNA from Mauremys mutica (yellowpond turtle), 934 nucleotides. RefSeq lists it as uncharacterized. The record is from RefSeq and is a predicted model, not a curated record. NCBI's taxonomy places the organism in Eukaryota, Metazoa, Chordata, Testudines, Geoemydidae. The transcript has 4 exons.
UGGUAGAGGAUAUAAAAAAAACCUUGAAACAUCUCCAUGUUGCUUCUUUCCUGCUUGGAUUCUCUGGACUGUGGAUUAACAACAAAGGGACCAUAUUUGAACUAUGGACUGAGGACCAUUGGAGUCCAUUCCAAUCUUUUGGAAGUUACCAGAGACUUUACAAGCCAGCAGUCUAUAACAUCACUGCUACAAUCCUGGUAUAAGAACAUUGCCAUUAUUAAACCCCAUAUCUUGUUUUCUGUGGUUUUGCUGAGGUAGUACUUUGAAGACUGAAAAACCAGCAGAUUUAUUUCACCACAAGAAACAAGGACUCGAAGCACCUGAGCAAAGAGAAGAUUGGAAGUGUGAACUGGGUACAAUGAAAAAUAAGACGGUGUUAUCCAUCAAACUUCAAGUUAGAAAUUGGGAAGGUACCAGAAUGCUUCAUCCAGAACUGAAAUGAAUCUCUGAGGUGGUUGACAACUCUUUAAUAGCCAUAUACAGCAUAAUAGCCUAAUACAGAAGCUUAAGACAGGAAAUGAAGAAUGCUUUGUCCAAAUGCAAUCACAGGGCAUAUUUAGCCAGGCAGAAUGCAUAGUAAUUCAUGCUGGAGUUUGGCCAGGCCGCUGGAAGAAGUACCCCUGCUUUGGUGAAGAGUGCUUUGGGAUCUUUCAUGACUGUGAGUAGAAAAAGUGUUGGGAUUAGAUUUGCAUCUACUACUCACGCGCUGUUUAUUUUUAUUUCGGUUCCCCUUUAUGGUCUUUUACAGCACUCAGGGAAGUUUUUCACACCCAGAAUAUCCUUGCUGCUGAUGUUGUGUUUUCCUUCAGGUUCAGCUACUUAGAAUGUUGAUGUUUUAAUAGUCUCACCCUCUGCUCAAUGCAUAUGAUAAAAAAGAUGUAUUUAGAAGUCAGAGUUAGCUAUGUAUAAACUGAUUAUCUGUAUAUAAACCUAC